UACGAAGGGGGCUAGCGUUGUUCGGAAUUACUGGGCGUAAAGCGCGCGCAGGCGGUCUUCCAAGUCAGUGAUGAAAGCCCGGAGCUCAACUCCGGAACUGCCAUUGAAACUGUGAGACUUGAGGAUGAGAGAGGUGAGUGGAAUUCCCAGUGUAGAGGUGAAAUUCGUAGAUAUUGGGAAGAACACCGGUGGCGAAGGCGGCUCACUGGCUCAUAUCUGACGCUGAGGCGCGAAAGCGUGGGUAGCAAACAGG
Molecule: ribosomal RNA, 253 nt
Filed under: uncultured bacterium
Lineage: Bacteria
Description: partial 16S ribosomal RNA
Rfam family: Bacterial small subunit ribosomal RNA
Source: RNAcentral